RNAcentral lists this transfer RNA (65 nucleotides) under Sphenophorus sp. BYU-CO246. RNAcentral's name for it is "tRNA-Arg". Lineage: Eukaryota; Metazoa; Arthropoda; Insecta; Coleoptera; Curculionidae. The record is from RNAcentral.
AAGUAAGAAGCAAAAUUAUUGCACUUAAUUUCGACUUAAACUUUUGGUUUCAAAACCCUUACUUA